This 2365-nucleotide long non-coding RNA is filed under the name Sus scrofa (pig). RNAcentral's name for it is "lncRNA (ENSSSCG00050016309.1)". Lineage: Eukaryota; Metazoa; Chordata; Mammalia; Artiodactyla; Suidae. The record is from RNAcentral.
AAAAAGCAACAGCAUUGCAAAUCCAGUAGGGUGAUAUUUUACUGCAUCUUACAAUACAGUUUCAUCAUUGGACAGGGGGCUGUCCUCUCAAUCCGCAACUGUUCCAAGAUCUUAAAAAUAGUGCCAUCACCUUUCAAGAGCCCAGACCUGCAUUGACAAGGAGGGCUGUUUGAUAACAGUACAGGUGAAACUGUGUGAGGAGUGACCAGAGUGGUCAGCUCACUUCCUAGAGAGAGUGUGUACAAAAGAUGAGCUGUUACUUCCCCCACAAUAGUUUUCCAAACUCAUUUUCUGCUGUUGGAUUUGUUAUACAGUUCAUCUCCUCUUUUGUCUCACAGCCCCUUACAUUGACUGCUGCUCCCCUCUUUAACCAGUUAUGACACUGCUCAUCUCUAUGUCCCCAGGGCUAUAGAACCUGAGUAUCUCCGUAAAGUGGAAACUGAAAGGGGACCUUAAAUAUCAUUGGGGCCAACCUCCUUGAUUUUGUAGAUGAGACAAUAGUGGCACAGAGAGAUUAGGAAACUAGGUCAGAGUUAUUCAGCUAGAGCCUGGCAGAGGCAGAAGUUGAGCUUGGAACGCUGGUUUGUUCACUAGACUACUGUCUACUCGCUGAAAGGUAGCUGAUCCUUGAAAAUAAAGAGAGAGAGAUGGAAGGCAUAGGGAUAUUUUGUUUCUUGCAAGUCUGUUUGUUCUAGGACAAGCCUCCAUGCCUUUUUAGGAACUAGGUAACAAAACAGAAACAGACUCACAGACAUGAAGAACAGAUUUGUGGUUGCUAAGGGGGUAGGGAAGGGAGUGAGAUGGACGGGGAGUUUGGGGUUAGGAGAUGCAAACUAUUACUUUCAGAAUGGAUAAGCAGUGAGGUCCUACUGUACAGCACAGAGAACUAUGUCCGGUCUCUUGGGAUAGACCAUGAUGGAAGCUGAUAUAAGAAAGGGAAUAUGUGUAUGAGCGGGUCACUUUGAUGUACAGCAGAAAUUGACAGAACACUGUAAAUCAAGUAUAAGAAAAAAGUUUUUUAAAUGCAUGUCUUCAUUUACAGUCAAUUCAGAAUGUAGUGUGGGCUUAACACUGCUCUGGAGAGGGUGAUAAGGAGAGGUAAUUAAAGGAAUUUUAAAGUCUAAAAGAAUUUGUAAUAUCAUUGGGGAAAUGAAAAUAAUACAAAUUGUGGUAGUAGGUUAAACAAGAAGUUUUCAAAAUCAGUGACACCUUAGGUGCUUCGAGAAGGAGGAAUCGGCACAGGCCAGAGUGACCUGCAAAGGCUUCACAGAGAAGGUUAGGGUGUGAGCUCAGCUUUCCAGUACGUACAAGAAAUGACCAGCUAGAAGAAGAGGCCCAGGGCUCCUUCACAGGAAGGAGCAGGUGUCAGUGUUCCCAGCAGCAGUGUGCAUCAGACCUGUAAAAGGUGGGAGCUUUAUCCCUGGGAGAUGAGGUGCGGCUGGGGAUACAGGGUGAGAGGAGAUGCUAUCCUGAGGACCCGGACUAUCCUAGAGGCAGAGAUGUGACAUCAAGUAGCUCCUGUGGAAGAUGAAUCCAGCACUGCAUGCAGGAUGGGCAGGUGUUGGGAAGAACCAGGUGGGCAAAAGGCAAGAGGUGAUGGACUCCAGGACACUUAAAAUGGGACUCUCAGCAAGCUUUCUUUUUAUUUAAAUAGAAUAUUAAUUACCAUGUCCAUGUGGCCGAUCCUUUUAUGCCAUAGUUGAGAUGUCCCUUCUCUCUGAAAGCCCUCGGUGACCCCUGGGUUCAGCUUAUGGUCCUUCCGGUGUGCUUUCAUAGCACCGCGCGCUUUCUCUAGCAUAGCAUCUCCCAUGCUGGGUUAUGAAUGUCUAAUGGUUGGUCACCCGUUUGGACAGUGAGCUUCCCAACCACAGGACCGUUUUCUGUCUUGUUCACUGUCUCAUCCCUCGGGCUUCAUGUCCAGCUUAGAGAAAAUGCUCAUUCAAUUCUUGUUGAAUAACUAAGUGACAGACCCAAUGGGAGAAGAGGAAAGACAAGAGGGUGGAAGAGAGUUGGGGGGUGGGGGUGGUUGGAGAGACUGAGAGAGAGAAAGGAAAGAGGAAAGAAAAGGAUAAAGAUUCAGAGAUGUAAAAAAAAAAGAAUUUCGGAUUACCAAAAAACUGUUUUCAGCAAGGCUUCGUGUGACUCUGCACAAAGCCAGUGAAUACCGAUUUAAUGGAUGCUGGUAUCUUGGGCUUUGAAAGUCAAAUAUGAAACACAUCAUAAUCACUUUUGCCUGGUUCUGUCUGCUAGUAAAAUGCAUCAAAAAUUUCCAGUUAGUGAGGGAAAUGAGGAUAAAGCCAAGGAUCAAAUAAACUUACUUGCUCUCUCUUAAAUAAAUGUUUUAUUUUAAAUGAUGAUAAUGCAU